RNAcentral lists this long non-coding RNA (475 nucleotides) under Pan troglodytes (chimpanzee). RNAcentral describes it as "long non-coding RNA NONPTRT012700". The record is from RNAcentral. Lineage: Eukaryota; Metazoa; Chordata; Mammalia; Primates; Hominidae.
UACAGAAAUGUAGCUCCUCAUACAUUAUAUUGUUCCUACGAAGAAUUAGAUUGAAUAAAGCUGCUUUGAAUAAAGCUCGUAUUACCAGCUACCACAUGUGAUGGAAAGGAUCCAAGUUAAACACUCUCACCAGAGCAUGCUCCAAGACAGAUGACUGAGCCCCAGGCUUGGCCAAUACAAUGCACUUCUAUUCUCUAUUUAUUUUUGUAGUUCAAAGACCUGGCAGUAACCCACUUGAUGCCUGCCAUAAGGACCAGUACACUCCUGAUUACUGCCCAGCGAUUUUAUAUCUGUAUGCCAGCUACUCAGACCACGUAUAAAGACUAGGGGGAUUUUUUGAAAGGAAAAGAAACCCCGGCUUCCACUUAUACUUUGAAAUUUCAGAUGAUAUACUGCCAACUUACAGACCUUGCUUUAAUCAGCAGCCACAUGAAAAGGCUGUUUCUAUUUACUCUAGGUCAUUUAGGAAACAAGC